CAACUAAAUGUCAAACAUAUUCUU
Molecule: microRNA, 24 nt
Filed under: Pteropus alecto (black flying fox)
Lineage: Eukaryota; Metazoa; Chordata; Mammalia; Chiroptera; Pteropodidae
Description: pal-miR-190b-3p
Gene: pal-miR-190b-3p
Source: miRBase by way of RNAcentral